GACGAACGCUGGCGGCGUGCUUAACACAUGCAAGUCGAACGGAAAGGCCCUGCUUUUGUGGGGUGCUCGAGUGGCGAACGGGUGAGUAACACGUGAGUAACCUGCCCUUGACUUUGGGAUAACUUCAGGAAACUGGGGCUAAUACCGGAUAGGAGCUCCUGCUGCAUGGUGGGGGUUGGAAAGUUUCGGCGGUUGGGGAUGGACUCGCGGCUUAUCAGCUAGUUGGUGGGGUAGUGGCGUACAAGGGCUGUGACGGGUAGCCGGCCUGAGAGGGUGACCGGCGACAUGGGGCCUGAGAUAGGGCGCAGACGCGAACGGGAGGCAGCAGUCGGGAGUAUGACGGAACGGCGGGGAGCGUGUGAUGGAAGCGUCCCGUGCGUGAUGAUGGGCUACGAGUGGUAAACCGAUUUGGACGUUGAUGAAGAGGGAGUGACGGUAACGGGUAAAGAAGCCCCGGCUAACUACGUG
RNAcentral lists this ribosomal RNA (468 nucleotides) under uncultured bacterium. Its description in RNAcentral is "partial 16S ribosomal RNA". It matches the Rfam family "Bacterial small subunit ribosomal RNA", at positions 28 to 507 of the family's 1533-position model. The record is from RNAcentral.